This 290-nucleotide ribosomal RNA is filed under the name Trichoderma asperellum. Its description in RNAcentral is "partial large subunit ribosomal RNA". It matches the Rfam family "Eukaryotic large subunit ribosomal RNA", at positions 359 to 671 of the family's 3401-position model. The record is from RNAcentral. Lineage: Eukaryota; Fungi; Ascomycota; Sordariomycetes; Hypocreales; Hypocreaceae.
GAAAGAUGAAAAGCACCUUGAAAGAGGGUUAAACAGUACUGAAAAUUGUUGAAAGGGAACGCUUGUGACCAGACUUGGGCGCGGCGGAUCAUCCGGGGUUCUCUCCGGUGCACUUCGCCGCGUUCGGGCCAGCAUCAGUUCGUCGCGGGGGAAAAAGGCUUCGGGAACGUGGCUCCUCCGGGAGUGUUAUAGCCCGUUGCAUAAUACCCUGCGGUGGACUGAGGACCGCGCAUCUGCAAGGAUGCUGGCGUAAUGGUCACCAGCGACCCGUCUUGAAACACGGACCAAGA